This 810-nucleotide ribosomal RNA is filed under the name uncultured bacterium. RNAcentral describes it as "bacterial SSU rRNA". It matches the Rfam family "Bacterial small subunit ribosomal RNA", at positions 71 to 853 of the family's 1533-position model. The record is from RNAcentral.
UCGGAGUGCUUGCACUCUGUGAAACAAGAUACAGGCUAGCGGCGGACGGGUGAGUAACACGUGGGUAACCUGCCCAAGAGAUCGGGAUAACACCUGGAAACAGAUGCUAAUACCGGAUAACAACAGAUGAUGCCUAUCAACUGUUUAAAAGAUGGUUCUGCUAUCACUCUUGGAUGGACCUGCGGUGCAUUAGCUAGUUGGUAGGGUAACGGCCUACCAAGGCGAUGAUGCAUAGCCGAGUUGAGAGACUGAUCGGCCACAUUGGGACUGAGACACGGCCCAAACUCCUACGGGAGGCAGCAGUAGGGAAUCUUCCACAAUGGACGCAAGUCUGAUGGAGCAACGCCGCGUGAGUGAAGAAGGGUUUCGGCUCGUAAAGCUCUGUUGUUGGUGAAGAAGGGCAGGGGUAGUAACUGACCUUUGUUUGACGGUAAUCAAUUAGAAAGUCACGGCUAACUACGUGCCAGCAGCCGCGGUAAUACGUAGGUGGCAAGCGUUGUCCGGAUUUAUUGGGCGUAAAGCGAGUGCAGGCGGCUCGAUAAGUCUGAUGUGAAAGCCUUCGGCUCAACCGGAGAAUUGCAUCAGAAACUGUCGAGCUUGAGUACAGAAGAGGAGAGUGGAACUCCAUGUGUAGCGGUGAAAUGCGUAGAUAUAUGGAAGAACACCGGUGGCGAAGGCGGCUCUCUGGUCUGUUACUGACGCUGAGGCUCGAAAGCAUGGGUAGCGAACAGGAUUAGAUACCCUGGUAGUCCAUGCCGUAAACGGUGAGUGCUAAGUGUUGGGAGGUUUCCGCCUCUCAGUGCUGCAGCU